UCCUGGCUUAGAACGAACGCUGGCGGCGCGUCUUAAGCAUGCAAGUCGAACGGCAAGAGGUAGCAAUACCUCCUAGAGUGGCGGACUGGUGAGUAACACGUGGGUGACAUACCCUUCAGAUGGGGAUAGCUAUUAGAAAUAGUAGAUAAUACCGAAUACGAGCACAGGGGUUAGAGAUCUGUGAGGAAAGGAGCUAAGGCUCCGCUGAAGGAAUGGCCUGCGGCCCAUUAGCUAGUUGGUGAGGUAAGAGCCCACCAAGGCGAUGAUGGGUAUCCGGCCUUAGAGGGUGAACGGACACAUUGGGACUGAGAUACGGCCCAGACUCCUACGGGAGGCAGCAGCUAAGAAUAUUCCGCAAUGGACGAAAGUCUGACGGAGCGACGCCGCCGUGGAUGAAGAAGGCCGGAAGGUUGUAAAAUCCUUUUGAAACUGAAGAAUAAGCGUUGUAGGGAAUGACAGCGUGGUGACAGUAGGUUUUGAAUAAGCAACGGCUAAUUACGUGCCAGCCGCCGC
Molecule: ribosomal RNA, 513 nt
Filed under: uncultured bacterium
Lineage: Bacteria
Description: bacterial SSU rRNA
Rfam family: Bacterial small subunit ribosomal RNA
Source: RNAcentral